GUGGGAAAUAACUAAUCGUGGUAAAAUGGAAUAAAAGGUUCAGACAUCCUUUUUGCUGUGGUGAAAGUAUGCUGGUGUUAUUGCAUGAAUGUAAACUUCAGUACCUUUUCCCUCUUUGGAAGAGAAGACUAUUAGUUUAGACAAGCCUGCUUUAAAACAUUUUAUUUGUAGUUACAUGUGAAUAGCUGAUUUAAAAAUUGCCAAGCCCGUCUACUCUACCUAAGUUUUCUGUAGUUUAGUGUUUUGCUGAAAUGCAAAAAGUUGCACACUUUUUAAUUUUAUACUGUGUAAAUUAAUACUUUCAUUUAGUCCUGUUUGAUUUAAUUUUGUGAUCAUGUUUUAAUGACAUGCAGCUGCUUCCCUGAAUGUUUCAACAAACACUGUCAUUUUACUGUAAGUCAAGGUUCAGUUGUGGUCAUAAUUAUGUGCAGAGCUUUUCCGAUUCUCUGUUGUCCGAAUUAGUGUUCUUUCAAAUGGCUUCCAAUCAGAACUAUUCAGGUACAUACUGUACAAGAUCUGUGUGUGCCCUCUUUUUUGACUCUUUAAAUUUCUCUCUCCUCACCCCAUUGAAAAAGCAGAGUUUAAGUACUUGGGCAACUUGAAAAAGAAAUCAAAUGUCUGCAUUUUUGUAACGUAACUUUUUUCUCCUCCCCUCCCAUGUCCAAUGCAUUUAGUGAAAUUAUACAUAAAUACUCAUAUUCUCAUUUUUGUUUAAAUAUGCUUGUCAUAGAUAUUAUCCAGAAGUCUGACCAUAACUAAACAUGAUCCAGUCAUUAACGCAGAUGAUGUUUUGCCUCUCUGACAGUAUUACACCACAAGAAAGAAGUGGGACCACAUUCAAUUCAGCACACCUACUGCCUCUUUGCUGUUCAACAAAUCACAAUGAUGUCAGCUUUUAAAGAUGCACUCUCCAUGGCACGCAGAUCACAACAGUAUUAUGAAAGUUGCAUGGAGAAGAGAUGGAGUGUCCCAAGGACAAUUUUUUCAAAUUGCAGUGCUGACACAGCUGCUUGGCCAUUCUGCAUAGCCAGUGACGCUUCACUUUCACACUUAGAAAGAGAAUGGUAUGCAUUUUGGGUCUAUGGUGCAGUUCUUAGCUUCUGAGGGAUGUUCCUUAAACAAAAGGGAUUGCUUUACGAUGGUGUGGCAUGAAUGCAAAAUAAGUACAACUGAAGCUAUUCCUAGUGUUUAAUAUGGGGGAAGAAUGACAAUGAUCUCUGACAUUAACUUGGAAUUCUCCACCUUGUUUGUGCUCUUAAAGGUUUCCAUGACAU
Leucoraja erinaceus (little skate) is the source of this 1274-nucleotide long non-coding RNA. RefSeq lists it as uncharacterized. The transcript has 3 exons. NCBI's taxonomy places the organism in Eukaryota, Metazoa, Chordata, Chondrichthyes, Rajiformes, Rajidae. The record is from RefSeq and is a predicted model, not a curated record.